RNAcentral lists this ribosomal RNA (462 nucleotides) under uncultured bacterium. RNAcentral describes it as "partial 16S ribosomal RNA". It matches the Rfam family "Bacterial small subunit ribosomal RNA", at positions 338 to 795 of the family's 1533-position model. The record is from RNAcentral.
CCUACGGGGUGCAGCAGUGAGGAAUAUUGGUCAAUGGACGCACGUCUGAACCAGCCAAGUAGCGUGCAGGAUGACGGCCCUCCGGGUUGUACACUGCUUUUAGUUGGGAAUAAAAGGGGGCUCGUGAGCCCCGUAUUGUAUGUACCAUCAGAAAAAGGACCGGCUAAUUCCGUGCCAGCAGCCGCGGUAAUACGGAAGGUCCGGGCGUUAUCCGGAUUUAUUGGGUUUAAAGGGAUCGUAGGCCGGCUUUUAAGUCAGCUGUGAAAGGCCGCGGCUCAACCGUGGACUUGCAGUUGAAACUGGAGGCCUUGAGUGCACACAGGGAUGCCGGAAUUCAUGGUGUAGCGGUGAAAUGAUUAGAUACCAUGAAGAACUCCGAGCGCGAAGGCAAGUGUCUGGGGUGCAACGGACGCUGAGGCUCGAAAGUGCGGGUAUCAAACAGGAUUAGAGACCCUGGUAGUC